RNAcentral lists this ribosomal RNA (462 nucleotides) under uncultured bacterium. RNAcentral's name for it is "bacterial SSU rRNA". It matches the Rfam family "Bacterial small subunit ribosomal RNA", at positions 29 to 506 of the family's 1533-position model. The record is from RNAcentral.
AUGAACGCUGGCGGCGUGUUUAAGGCAUGCAAGUUGAGCGAAGUACUCUCGCAAGAGAGCUACUAGCGGCAAACGGGUGAGUAACACACUGGUAACCUACCUCUAAGACGGGGAUAGCUCUCCGAAAGGAGAAUUAAUACCCGAUAGUAACGCGGGGACAUAUGUCAUUCGCGUUUAAAUCUUUUUUGGCUUAGAGAGGGGCCUAUGUCUGAUUAGUUAGUUGGCGGAGUAAAAGCCCACCAAGACUAUGAUCAGUAGCAGGCGUGAGAGCGUGACCUGCCUCACUGGGACUGAGACACUGCCCAGACAUCUACGGAUGGCUGCAGUCAAGAAUAUUCCUCAAUGGACGAAAGUCUGAAGGAGCGACGCCGCGUGCAGGAUGAAGGUUUUCGGAUCGUAAACUGCUUUUAUGUGGGAAGAAUUUGUGACGGUACCACACGAAUAAGAGGUUGCUAACUCUGU